GGGAUGAACAGCCAGAAGACUACUGCUUCCUCUCUCCCAGUCUGGCUGGGAAGUCUCCUUCCCACAGUCCCAAGCCAGCUGACCUGGGGACUGGAGUGGCAGCUGUAGCUUAGGAGAACUGAGAUGCAGAGGCCCAUCCCAUCAAGAAAGCCAGGGCCAGGCAGGAUGAGCCCAGCAUGCUGUCCUCCUCACUGCUGAGCACUGAUCAGUUGGUUCAUAUCUAAAGGAGGAAGACCAGGGCACUUCCCAGACUCAUGGGCCAACACAGACUCAUAGUCCACAACUAUCCAUGGGUUUUAGUGAGAGCUGGAAGAAGUACCUCAGUGAAGUUCAGGAAACAGUAUUUUAUAAAGGUAAUGAGAUUUGUGCAGAAUAAAGCAGACAUUACAUUGUUUAUUCGCCCCCACACCAAGUUUUCACCUAGACCCAUAAGAGAUGGGAAGGUUCUAAUUCCCAGACAGGAUCCAUAUCAUGGACCCAGUCAAGCUCACAGGCUCUGCUUUCAUGUGCAAAGACAUGUUCCACCUCCGCCCAGCUCAGAAAGUGUUUAAAAAUUGUUGUCUGCAGACAUAGAUGGUUUGCUCACCUUCAGCAUGGAGAUUUAUCUGGGUGGGCCAAACAAGGGGUUCUUUUACUCAAUGCUGUCUCACUAUUCUGGCCCAUCAAGCCAGUUCUCAUAAGGAGAGAGGCUGGGAGCAACUCACUGACGCAGUUGUGUCCUGGCUAAAUCAGAACUCGAUCUGGCUUGUCUUCUUGCUCUGGGGCUCUUAUGCUCAGAAGAAGGGCAGUGCCAUGGAUAGGAAACAGCACCACAUUCUGCAGCUGGCUCAUCCCUCCCUGUUGUCUGCAUAUAGAGGUUCUUUGGAUGUAGACACUUUUCUUUCUUUCUUUUUUUUUUUUUUGAAAUGGAGUCUCGCUCUUUCACCCAGGCUGAAGUGCAUUGGCACGAUCUCGGCUCACUGCAACCUCCACCUCCCAGGUUCAAGUGAUUCUACUGCCUCAGCCUCCCGAGUAGCUGGGAUUACAGGUGCGCACCACCAUGCCCAGUUAAUUUUUUGUAUUUUUAGUAAAGACCGGGUUUCACCAUGAUGACCAAGCUGGUUUUGAACUCCUGACCUCAAGUGAUCUGCCCACGUUCACCUCCCAAAGUGCUAGGAUUACAGGUGUGAGCCACCAGACCCGACUGCAUGUAGACACUUUUCUAAAACCAAUGAGCUGUCUCAGAAGUCCGACAAGAAGUCCAUCGACUGGAAGGAGCUGU
This 1261-nucleotide long non-coding RNA is filed under the name Homo sapiens (human). Its description in RNAcentral is "non-protein coding lnc-HNRNPA1P48-16:1". The record is from RNAcentral. Lineage: Eukaryota; Metazoa; Chordata; Mammalia; Primates; Hominidae.